Molecule: ribosomal RNA, 398 nt
Filed under: uncultured bacterium
Lineage: Bacteria
Description: partial 16S ribosomal RNA
Rfam family: Bacterial small subunit ribosomal RNA
Source: RNAcentral
AUACGUAGGGUGCGAGCGUUGUCCGGAAUUACUGGGCGUAAAGAGCUCGUAGGUGGUUUGUCGCGUCGUCUGUGAAAUUCCGGGGCUUAACUCCGGGCGUGCAGGCGAUACGGGCAUAACUUGAGUACUGUAGGGGAGACUGGAAUUCCUGGUGUAGCGGUGAAAUGCGCAGAUAUCAGGAGGAACACCGGUGGCGAAGGCGGGUCUCUGGGCAGUAACUGACGCUGAGGAGCGAAAGCAUGGAUAGCGAACAGGAUUAGAUACCCUGGUAGUCCAUGCCGUAAACGGUGGGCGCUAGGUGUAGGGGUCUUCCACGACUUCUGUGCCGUAGCUAACGCAUUAAGCGCCCCGCCUGGGGAGUACGGCCGCAAGGCUAAAACUCAAAUGAAUUGACGGGG